UACGAGUGAGGCAAGCGUUGUUCGGAUUUACUGGGCGUAAAGCGCACGUAGGCGGAUAUUUAAGUCAGAGGUGAAAUCCCAGGGCUCAACCCUGGAACUGCCUUUGAUACUGGAUGUCUUGAGUAUGGAAGAGGUGAGUGGAAUUCCGAGUGUAGAGGUAAAAUUCGUAGAUAUUCGGAGGAACACCAGUGGCGAAGGCGGCUCACUGGUCCAUUACUGACGCUGAGGUGCGAAAGCGUGGGGAGCAAACA
Molecule: ribosomal RNA, 251 nt
Filed under: uncultured Bartonella sp.
Lineage: Bacteria; Pseudomonadati; Pseudomonadota; Alphaproteobacteria; Hyphomicrobiales; Bartonellaceae
Description: partial 16S ribosomal RNA
Rfam family: Bacterial small subunit ribosomal RNA
Source: RNAcentral